GGCGGCGGCGACGACGGUGACGGCGACGGCUUGUGGCUUCCGUUCGCCUCCCUCUGUUCCCCCGGCGAGUCUUCCAGUUCGGCCUUCUCCGCCGCACGUCCAGCGGCGCCGUCUUCCGGGAUCUCCGCCGCCUUCGGCAAAAUAUCGUACUCCUCGUUAUCUCCACCAGGCUUCUUGCUCGUGGCCUCGGCCAGCAGCGCCGACAGCCCCUGGAUUUUGCCGAGGGCCGCCGCUUCCCGGGCCCGUAGGUCGUCGUUCUCCUGGCUGAUGCUCUGCAAUUCGUUUUCCUUGUCCAGCAGCCGCUCCUUCAACUGCAGGUUCUCGGCUUUGGCCGCCUCGACGGACUCGUUGGCCGACCCAGCAUCCACUUCCGCCUUCCUCAGCCGGUUCAGCAGCUCGUCUCCUUCUUCCCUCGCAGCCUUCGCCACGGCCUCCGCUCCUUGCAGUUUCAUGAUCAGCUCACUCAUUUCGUCUUUCAGCACGAGGAACUCCUCCUCCGACCUUCCGACCGGCGGAUCGAGCUCCUUCUGCUCCAAUGCCGAUCUCAGACCUUGGACCUCCAGCUCGGACCUCUCCAGGGCGCUCUUCAGGGAACUGAUCUCCUCUUUGGCCUCAUUCAGCAGGAU
RNAcentral lists this long non-coding RNA (626 nucleotides) under Spirodela polyrhiza (greater duckweed). Its description in RNAcentral is "long non-coding RNA (SPOL_LNC002290)". The record is from RNAcentral. Lineage: Eukaryota; Viridiplantae; Streptophyta; Magnoliopsida; Alismatales; Araceae.